GAGUCUGAACCAGCCAUGCCGCGUGGAGGAUGAAGGUCCUCUGGAUUGUAAACUUCUUUUAUUUGGGAAGAAACUCUAGAUUUCCAUCGGUAUUGACGGUACCAGAUGAAUAAGCACCGGCUAACUCCGUGCCAGCAGCCGCGGUAAUACGGAGGGUGCAAGCGUUAUCCGGAUUCACUGGGUUUAAAGGGUGCGUAGGUGGGCAGGUAAGUCAGUGGUGAAAUCUCCGGGCUUAACCCGGAAACUGCCAUUGAUACUAUCUGUCUUGAAUACCCUGGAGGUGAGCGGAAUAUGUCAUGUAGCGGUGAAAUGCUUAGAUAUGACAUAGAACACCCAUUGCGAAGGCAGCUCACUACGGGAAUAUUGACGCUGAGGCACGAAAGCGUGGGGAUCAAACAGGAUUAGAUACCCUGGUAGUCCACGCCCUAAACUAUGAUCACUCGACAUCAGCGAUACACUGUUGGUGUCUGAGCGAAAGCAUUAAGUGAUCCCCCUGGGAAGUACGAUCGCAAGAUUGAAACU
Molecule: ribosomal RNA, 522 nt
Filed under: uncultured Sphingobacteriales bacterium
Lineage: Bacteria; Pseudomonadati; Bacteroidota; Sphingobacteriia; Sphingobacteriales
Description: bacterial SSU rRNA
Rfam family: Bacterial small subunit ribosomal RNA
Source: RNAcentral